CCAUGUAUACAAGCCCCAAGACAAGCGGUUAUGUCAGGUUUAGUGUUGGAAAUCAGCUUUGGUUACUUCAUACGGUCAAGGCAAGUGUGUAGUUGAUAGGUUGAUCUGCAUUAGCAUCUAUAGUGCUAUCUGCAAUCAGUAAAUCUAAAAUGGUGCUAAAGAUUGGUUAGAUAUUCAAGUUUAAAUCAAUAUAAGAUCAUAGUCCCAUUUUCAAUAGCUAAGCAUAAUUUUUAAAAUUCCUUUUAUAUAAUUAUAAAAUAAAUUAUAUCAGUAAAUCUCCCCCCAGACUUAAACUACACUGUCCCAGUGUAACUCAGUCGGAGUUAUGAUGGAAUAAUUCAUAAGUACGAAAUGUAACAAGUAAGGAAGAUACAUCUGACCGGAUUAGAUAUCGAUCGAUGUGAAAAUGUUGCAUCGAUCGUCGUGUGUUUGUCUAUGUCGAGCGAUGUCGACAUCUCGUCGGCGGUCGAUAUUCAGGUCCUCCUACUUGGGUCUCCUAAAUCUGAAAGAAAUAAAAAAAAAGUAAAUAAAUGCUAGCUAAUAAAACCAAAAUAAAAUACCUAAUAGUGGGUUGCCUCUCACUCAACGCUUGGUUAUAGUCAUUUAGCUUGACUGUGGUAGUGAUUGGCUAUUUGGUGGAUAAACAGCUGCUUGUUGGAAAACAAGCAUCCACGUCAUCUCUGCACAUUCUGGACCAAGAUGCAAUGAAACUUCUU
RNAcentral lists this long non-coding RNA (716 nucleotides) under Brassica rapa (field mustard). RNAcentral's name for it is "long non-coding RNA (BRAP_LNC008503)". The record is from RNAcentral. Lineage: Eukaryota; Viridiplantae; Streptophyta; Magnoliopsida; Brassicales; Brassicaceae.